Molecule: ribosomal RNA, 921 nt
Filed under: Amarenographium ammophilae
Lineage: Eukaryota; Fungi; Ascomycota; Dothideomycetes; Pleosporales
Description: SSU rRNA
Rfam family: Eukaryotic small subunit ribosomal RNA
Source: RNAcentral
CUAAUCAUGCUAAAACCCCACUUCGGGAGGGUGUAUUUAUAGAUAAAAACCCACGCCCUUCGGGGCUUCUUGGUGAUUCAUGAUACUUUACGGAUCGCAUGGCCUUGCGCCGGCGACGGUUCAUUCAAAUUUCUGCCCUAUCAACUUUCGAUGGUAAGGUAUUGGCUUACCAUGGUUUCAACGGGUAACGGGGAAUUAGGGUUCGAUUCCGGAGAGGGAGCCUGAGAAACGGCUACCACAUCCAAGGAAGGCAGCAGGCGCGCAAAUUACCCAAUCCCGACACGGGGAGGUAGUGACAAUAAAUACUGAUACAGGGCUCUUUUGGGUCUUGUAAUUGGAAUGAGUACAAUUUAAACCUCUUAACGAGGAACAAUUGGAGGGCAAGUCUGGUGCCAGCAGCCGCGGUAAUUCCAGCUCCAAUAGCGUAUAUUAAAGUUGUUGCAGUUAAAAAGCUCGUAGUUGAAACUUGGGUCUGGCUGGCAGGUCCGCCUCACCGCGUGUACUUGUCCGGCCGGGCCUUCCUUCUGGAGAACCUCAUGCCCUUCACUGGGCGUGUUGGGGACCAGGACUUUUACUUUGAAAAAAUUAGAGUGUUCAAAGCAGGCCUUUGCUCGAAUACGUUAGCAUGGAAUAAUAGAAUAGGACGUGCGGUCCUAUUUUGUUGGUUUCUAGGACCGCCGUAAUGAUUAAUAGGGACAGUCGGGGGCAUCAGUAUUCAAUUGUCAGAGGUGAAAUUCUUGGAUUUAUUGAAGACUAACUACUGCGAAAGCAUUUGCCAAGGAUGUUUUCAUUAAUCAGUGAACGAAAGUUAGGGGAUCGAAGACGAUCAGAUACCGUCGUAGUCUUAACCGUAAACUAUGCCGACUAGGGAUCGGGCGAUGUUCUUUUUCUGACUCGCUCGGCACCUUACGAGAAAUCAAG